This 253-nucleotide ribosomal RNA is filed under the name uncultured bacterium. RNAcentral describes it as "partial 16S ribosomal RNA". It matches the Rfam family "Bacterial small subunit ribosomal RNA", at positions 524 to 776 of the family's 1533-position model. The record is from RNAcentral.
UACGGGGGGGGCAAGCGUUGUUCGGAAUUACUGGGCGUAAAGGGCUCGUAGGCGGCCAACUAAGUCAGACGUGAAAUCCCUCGGCUUAACCGGGGAACUGCGUCUGAUACUGGAUGGCUUGAGAUUGGGAGAGGGAUGCGGAAUUCCAGGUGUAGCGGUGAAAUGCGUAGAUAUCUGGAGGAACACCGGUGGCGAAGGCGGCAUCCUGGACCAACACUGACGCUGAGAAGCGAAAGCAUGGGGAGCGAACAGG